Molecule: ribosomal RNA, 431 nt
Filed under: uncultured Porphyromonadaceae bacterium
Lineage: Bacteria; Pseudomonadati; Bacteroidota; Bacteroidia; Bacteroidales; Porphyromonadaceae
Description: partial 16S ribosomal RNA
Rfam family: Bacterial small subunit ribosomal RNA
Source: RNAcentral
ACGGAAGGCAGCAGUGAGGAAUAUUGGUCAAUGGGCGGAAGCCUGAACCAGCCAUGUCGCGUGCAGGACUACGGCCCUACGGGUCUUAAACUGCUUUUGAUUGGGGAUAAAGUGGGGGACGCGUCCCCUAUUGCAGGUACCAAUCGAAUAAGGAUCGGCUAACUCCGUGCCAGCAGCCGCGGUAAUACGGAGGAUCCGAGCGUUAUCCGGAUUUAUUGGGUUUAAAGGGUGCGUAGGCGGGCUGUUAAGUCAGCGGUGAAACCCCCGGGCUCAACCCGGGGACUGCCAUUGAAACUGGCGGCCUAGAGUACGUUGGGAGUGCGCGGAAUGUGUGGUGUAGCGGUGAAAUGCAUAGAUAUCACACAGAACACCGAUCGCGAAGGCAGCGCACUACGCCGCAACUGACGCUGAGGCACUCGGCUCCUCGUGUU